GACACUCCUUUGGAGUUACAAAGAAACCAUAUAGACGAAGCGGCUUGGAAUGGCCCGCCAUAGAAGGUAAGAGCCCUGUACUUGAAAUGUGGUUUCCUCCGGAGUGUAUCCUGAGUACGGCGGAACACGUGAAAUUCCGUCGGAAUCCGGGAGGACCAUCUCCCAAGGCUAAAUACUCCCUAGUGACCGAUAGUGAACCAGUACCGUGAGGGAAAGGUGAAAAGCACCCCGGAAGGGGAGUGAAAUAGAUCCUGAAACCGUGUGCCUACAAGUAGUCGAAGCCCGUUAAUGGGUGACGGCGUACCUUUUGUAGAAUGGACCGGCGAGUUACGAUCCCCUGCAAGGUUAAGUUGUAUAGACGGAGCCGCAGCGAAAGCGAGUCUGAAUAGGGCGAUAUAGUAGGU
RNAcentral lists this ribosomal RNA (404 nucleotides) under Terribacillus saccharophilus. RNAcentral's name for it is "bacterial LSU rRNA". It matches the Rfam family "Bacterial large subunit ribosomal RNA", at positions 304 to 704 of the family's 2925-position model. The record is from RNAcentral. Lineage: Bacteria; Bacillati; Bacillota; Bacilli; Caryophanales; Bacillaceae.